CCCAAGCCGUGUCUAUCCAGAAAGACUACUCAACUUCUCUGAUGUCCCACGAACAGAACCAGCCCGCUCACCUCUCUCUCCCCCAAGAACAGAGCACGGCCGCCGUCGCCUCGAUCUGCCCCGUACGGGCAUCUCCGGCGACAUGGCGGACACCUAUAGAUUCCCCUCGUCUCCCUCUACCAUUUCCCCCUAUUUAUUUGAUCGGCCACCGCCAAAAACGCCGCCACCACUCAAUCCUAGCGCCGCCCGAUCCAGGUCUGGUGGGCUUGCCACCGGCUGCAGCGGCAACGAUGUCUCCAUGCCUACAUCCUCCCCCUAGUGCAGCCACACGCACAAGGCGUGCAGCCACGGGCGUCGGGCACAUGCGGCUUCACCGGCGCUGCUCGGUUGCCAUGGCUUUGCUGCUAACGGUGUGGACUAGCCACAUCCUACUGCUACUACUGGUAAAUAGAUCAAGGUGAAUAGACGCUCAUGGACUGAUUCAAACCGAGGUGGAGAUAGAUAAGAAGUCAAGCAAGAAGGUCUAACACAACAAGGUACUUGAUUAGUACCUGGUGGCGCAUGCAACCCAAAGAGCUUCACAUCAGUGGAGGACAGUAGUGUGGCAGAAAGUGAAAAGGCAAGGUGAAAAGGCAGAGGGGUUUCUCCAGCGGAUGAUUGUGUGUGGCCACAGUGAAAGGGAUGGCUCCUAUUUGUAGUGGGGUGAAUAGCUAUGUCGGUUUGGAGAUGCAUUACAUCUGGCAUGCAGGCGUGGUUAGUCUUGCAUGCAUGCCUCCACUUCUGUCUCUUGUGGGUUGUAUUAGGGACAAGUGUGAUUUGCUUGGCUGGCCAUUAGUUGGCACUUACUUUGUGUGAGAGAAAUGAGACAAGGGUCUAUAAAAUAUAGGGAAGUUUGGAGAAGAAUUGGUGUGUAUGACUAAAUGCUAUUUCCUGUAAAAAUAAAUUAAAAGUAGUUGUUUCUAUUAUUUUAGUUAAUGUUUAGGCAACGCCGUUGAAAUUAUCAUUAUCUAAUUUAUUAUUAUUAUUAUUAUUAUUAUUAUUAUUAUUAUUA
Long non-coding RNA from Triticum aestivum (bread wheat), 1051 nucleotides. RefSeq lists it as uncharacterized. The record is from RefSeq and is a predicted model, not a curated record. Lineage: Eukaryota; Viridiplantae; Streptophyta; Magnoliopsida; Poales; Poaceae. The transcript is spliced from 2 exons.